RNAcentral lists this ribosomal RNA (515 nucleotides) under uncultured bacterium. Its description in RNAcentral is "partial 16S ribosomal RNA". It matches the Rfam family "Bacterial small subunit ribosomal RNA", at positions 28 to 523 of the family's 1533-position model. The record is from RNAcentral.
GAUGAACGCUGGCGGCGCGCCUAAUACAUGCAAGUCGAGCGAAUGGAUUAAGAGCUUGCUCUUAUGAAGUUAGCGGUGGACGGGUGAGUAACACGUGGGUAACCUGCCCAUAAGACUGGGAUAACUCCGGGAAACCGGGGCUAAUACCGGAUAACAUUUUGAACCGCAUGGUUCGAAAUUGAAAGGCGGCUUCGGCUGUCACUUAUGGAUGGACCCGCGUCGCAUCAGCUAGUUGGUGAGGUAACGGCUCACCAAGGCAACGAUGCGUAGCCGACCUGAGAGGGUGAUCGGCCACACUGGGACUGAGACACGGCCCAGACUCCUACGGGAGGCAGCAGUAGGGAAUCUUCCGCAAUGGACGAAAGUCUGACGGAGCAACGCCGCGUGAGUGAUGAAGGCUUUCGGGUCGUAAAACUCUGUUGUUAGGGAAGAACAAGUGCUAGUUGAAUAAGCUGGCACCUUGACGGUACCUAACCAGAAAGCCACGGCUAACUACGUGCCAGCCGCCGCGGUAA